UCUUUGGAGAGUUUGAUCCUGGCUCAGGACGAACGCUGGCGGCGUGCCUAAUACAUGCAAGUCGAGCGGACCGGGCGGGAGCUUGCUUCCGCUUGGUUAGCGGCGGA
RNAcentral lists this ribosomal RNA (107 nucleotides) under Geobacillus sp. Its description in RNAcentral is "partial 16S ribosomal RNA". It matches the Rfam family "Bacterial small subunit ribosomal RNA", at positions 1 to 102 of the family's 1533-position model. Lineage: Bacteria; Bacillati; Bacillota; Bacilli; Caryophanales; Anoxybacillaceae. The record is from RNAcentral.